This 1052-nucleotide ribosomal RNA is filed under the name Latilactobacillus sakei. RNAcentral describes it as "bacterial SSU rRNA". It matches the Rfam family "Bacterial small subunit ribosomal RNA", at positions 415 to 1460 of the family's 1533-position model. Lineage: Bacteria; Bacillati; Bacillota; Bacilli; Lactobacillales; Lactobacillaceae. The record is from RNAcentral.
UUUUCGGAUCGUAAACUCUGUUGUUGGAGAAGAAUGUAUCUGAUAGUAACUGAUCAGGUAGUGACGGUAUCCAACCAGAAAGCCACGGCUAACUACGUGCCAGCAGCCGCGGUAAUACGUAGGUGGCAAGCGUUGUCCGGAUUUAUUGGGCGUAAAGCGAGCGCAGGCGGUUUCUUAAGUCUGAUGUGAAAGCCUUCGGCUCAACCGAAGAAGUGCAUCGGAAACUGGGAAACUUGAGUGCAGAAGAGGACAGUGGAACUCCAUGUGUAGCGGUGAAAUGCGUAGAUAUAUGGAAGAACACCAGUGGCGAAGGCGGCUGUCUGGUCUGUAACUGACGCUGAGGCUCGAAAGCAUGGGUAGCAAACAGGAUUAGAUACCCUGGUAGUCCAUGCCGUAAACGAUGAGUGCUAGGUGUUGGAGGGUUUCCGCCCUUCAGUGCCGCAGCUAACGCAUUAAGCACUCCGCCUGGGGAGUACGACCGCAAGGUUGAAACUCAAAGGAAUUGACGGGGGCCCGCACAAGCGGUGGAGCAUGUGGUUUAAUUCGAAGCAACGCGAAGAACCUUACCAGGUCUUGACAUCCUUUGACCACUCUAGAGAUAGAGCUUUCCCUUCGGGGACAAAGUGACAGGUGGUGCAUGGUUGUCGUCAGCUCGUGUCGUGAGAUGUUGGGUUAAGUCCCGCAACGAGCGCAACCCUUAUUACUAGUUGCCAGCAUUUAGUUGGGCACUCUAGUGAGACUGCCGGUGACAAACCGGAGGAAGGUGGGGACGACGUCAAAUCAUCAUGCCCCUUAUGACCUGGGCUACACACGUGCUACAAUGGAUGGUACAACGAGUUGCGAGACCGCGAGGUUUAGCUAAUCUCUUAAAACCAUUCUCAGUUCGGAUUGUAGGCUGCAACUCGCCUACAUGAAGCCGGAAUCGCUAGUAAUCGCGGAUCAGCAUGCCGCGGUGAAUACGUUCCCGGGCCUUGUACACACCGCCCGUCACACCAUGAGAGUUUGUAACACCCAAAGCCGGUGAGGUAACCCUUCGGGAGCCAGCCGUCUAA